This 491-nucleotide unclassified non-coding RNA is filed under the name Hevea brasiliensis (rubber tree). Lineage: Eukaryota; Viridiplantae; Streptophyta; Magnoliopsida; Malpighiales; Euphorbiaceae. The record is from RNAcentral.
UUGUUCAUUCAGUCAUUUAUUUUCAUGUAGUUUAAAAUCUUCAUUUUUGUAAUAUUUUUUAAUUUGCAAGUUCUGAAACAAAAUGACUGAAUGAACAAGUUCCUUUACAUGACCUGACUUGUAUUUCAUCUACAAGAUGCAUGAAAAAUUACUAGCAUCUUAUAGAUUGCCAAGAAAUAGGUGACAAUAAAGAAGAAAAAUUGAAUCUAACAAAACCCUAGGUUUUUGAUAACUGUCUCCUGAUGAUACAAAUUUCUCCUUUUUUUCUGGUCUUGAACACAAGCCAAGAGAACUUUCCUGAGCCAUAAUUUUCAUUAUUUCAUCAAUCUUCUGCCAAGAGGGAACCUCAAAAGCCAGUUACCAAACAUAGGAUUUUAGAUGCAAUUCAAAAGAUUGCAUCUCCUAACCAAUUAUACCGGGAUCAUCUUUAAAACAGCAGCAAUUGGCAUGCCUAUAAAUCCAAUGAAUACACUAAGGAACCAUUGUGACAA